CCUAGGGGUGCUGCAGUGAGGAAUAUUGCACAAUGGGGGGAACCCUGAUGCAGCAACGCCGCGUGGAGGAUGACGCAUUUCGGUGUGUAAACUCCUUUUAUAUGUCAAGAAAAUGACGGUAGCAUAUGAAUAAGCACCGGCUAACUCCGUGCCAGCAGCCGCGGUAAUACGGAGGGUGCAAGCGUUACUCGGAAUCACUGGGCGUAAAGGACGCGUAGGCGGGUUGGAAAGUCAGGUGUGAAAACCUACAGCUUAACUGUAGAACUGCACUUGAAACUUCUAAUCUAGAGUAUGGGAGGGGGAGAUGGAAUUAGUGGUGUAGGGGUAAAAUCCGUAGAUAUCACUAGGAAUACCUAAAGCGAAGGCGAUCUCCUGGAACAUUACUGACGCUAAGGCGUGAAAGCGUGGGGAGCAAACAGGAUUAGAUACCCGGGUAGUC
This 439-nucleotide ribosomal RNA is filed under the name uncultured bacterium. RNAcentral's name for it is "partial 16S ribosomal RNA". It matches the Rfam family "Bacterial small subunit ribosomal RNA", at positions 338 to 795 of the family's 1533-position model. The record is from RNAcentral.